UACGUAGGGGGCAAGCGUUGUCCGGAUUUAUUGGGCGUAAAGAGCGUGUAGGCGGCCUGGAAGGUCAGCUGUGAAAACUCGAGGCUCAACCUCGAGACGUCGGUUGAAACCACCUGGCUAGAGUCCGGAAGAGGAGAGUGGAAAUCCCGGUGUAGCGGUGAAAUGCGCAGAUAUCGGGAAGAACACCCGUGGCGAAGGCGGCUCUCUGGGACGGUACUGACGCUGAGACGCGAAAGCGUGGGGAGCGAACAGG
RNAcentral lists this ribosomal RNA (253 nucleotides) under uncultured bacterium. Its description in RNAcentral is "partial 16S ribosomal RNA". It matches the Rfam family "Bacterial small subunit ribosomal RNA", at positions 524 to 776 of the family's 1533-position model. The record is from RNAcentral.